CCUACGGGAGGCAGCAGUGAGGAAUAUUGGUCAAUGGCCGUAAGGCUGAACCAGCCAAGUCGCGUGAAGGAAGAAGGAUCUAUGGUUUGUAAACUUCUUUUAUAGGGGAAUAAAGGUAUCCACGUGUGGAUAUUUGCAUGUACCCUAUGAAUAAGCAUCGGCUAACUCCGUGCCAGCAGCCGCGGUAAUACGGAGGAUGCGAGCGUUAUCCGGAUUUAUUGGGUUUAAAGGGUGCGUAGGUUGUUUUUUAAGUCAGCGGUGAAAGGUUGUGGCUCAACCAAAAAAAUGCCGUUGAAACUGGGAGAACUGGGGGGUGUUGGGGGAAGGCGAAAUGCGGGGUGUAGCGGUGAAUGCAUAGAUAUCACGCAGAACUCCGAGUGCGAAGGCAGCUUACUAAGCCAUAACUGACACUGAAGCACGAAAGCGUGGGGAUCAAACAGGAUUAGAUACCCCAGUAGUC
Molecule: ribosomal RNA, 460 nt
Filed under: uncultured bacterium
Lineage: Bacteria
Description: partial 16S ribosomal RNA
Rfam family: Bacterial small subunit ribosomal RNA
Source: RNAcentral